UACGAAGGGUGCAAGCGUUACUCGGAAUUACUGGGCGUAAAGCGUGCGCAGGCGGUUGUGCAAGACAGGUGUGAAAUCCCCGGGCUUAACCUGGGAACUGCACUUGUGACUGCACAGCUGGAGUACGGCAGAGGGGGAUGGAAUUCCGCGUGUAGCAGUGAAAUGCGUAGAUAUGCGGAGGAACACCGAUGGCGAAGGCAGUCCCCUGGGCCUGUACUGACGCUCAUGCACGAAAGCGUGGGGAGCAAACGGG
Molecule: ribosomal RNA, 253 nt
Filed under: uncultured bacterium
Lineage: Bacteria
Description: partial 16S ribosomal RNA
Rfam family: Bacterial small subunit ribosomal RNA
Source: RNAcentral